GAAUGGAAGAGUGACCUAGCUGUGACCCUCCACCCCAUUGAUUGCCUGAGCCCAUUAGGCUGAUGUGGUGGCCUUGGGUCUUCUUUCUCCAUCUCUGUAUUCUGCAGGCUUAAGUUGCUGGCUCCGACAAGAGGAUGACUUUCCUGAGAAAGGAUGGUUCUUCCUCAACACACUAUGCAGCACCAACACUGCUGCGCAAUGAAAUGUCAAAGAGGGACUUUUCUGGGGUCCUAAGAUUCUUCCAGGAGUGUUGAGAGAACACUGGGGAAAGAGUUAAGUGAGCUUCUUUUUCCCUG
RNAcentral lists this small RNA (296 nucleotides) under Octodon degus (degu). RNAcentral describes it as "7SK RNA (ENSODEG00000022999.1)". The record is from RNAcentral. Lineage: Eukaryota; Metazoa; Chordata; Mammalia; Rodentia; Octodontidae.